AUAGCGACUAUCGUGGCAUAUCAAUAAGCGGAGGAAAAGAAACUAACAAGGAUUCCCUUAGUAACGGCGAGUGAAGCGGGAAGAGCUCAAAUUUGAAAUCUUCAAGGUUCUACCUUGACGAAUUGUAGUUUAUAGAAGUGUUUUCUGUUAGUGGAGUGGCAAAAGUUCUUUGGAAUAGGACAUCAUAGAGGGUGAGAAUCCCGUAUUUGGUCAUUCCUCCUAGCGUUGUGAUACACUUUCAACGAGUCGGAUUGUUUGGGAAUGCAGUCCAAAAUGGGUGGUAAAUUUCAUCUAAAGCUAAAUAUUGGCGAGAGACCGAUAGCGAACAAGUACCGUGAGGGAAAGAUGAAAAGAACUUUGAAAAGAGAGUUAAACAGUACGUGAAAUUGUCAAAAGGGAAGCGUUUGACACCAGUGUUGUUUUUCCGAAAAUCAAUUACGAAUGUUUUGUUUUUGAGGAGUUAUGACUUCAUCGGCUUGCUUCUUUCUUUAUGAAACUUUCUUAAUGCACUUUUCGGUUAACAAGUCAACAUCAAUUUCUUUUGUUGUAAAAGGGUAUGAGGAAGGUGGCCUUCUUUUCGGAGAAAGUGUUUAUAGCCUUGUGCCUCUGCAAUCGGAGAGAUUGAGGUCUGCAGCGUAGAUCCUUCGGGGUUAGAUACGUUUGUGCUAAGUUAUAGCUUUUCAUAGACAACUUGUUGACUAUGUUUAGUCUUGUAGCUUACUCGCUGACGCUAUUUUACCUACGCUUAGGAUGUUGAAGAUAUGCGCGACACG
This 773-nucleotide ribosomal RNA is filed under the name uncultured Neocallimastigales. RNAcentral describes it as "partial large subunit ribosomal RNA". It matches the Rfam family "Eukaryotic large subunit ribosomal RNA", at positions 22 to 644 of the family's 3401-position model. Lineage: Eukaryota; Fungi; Neocallimastigomycota; Neocallimastigomycetes; Neocallimastigales. The record is from RNAcentral.